RNAcentral lists this ribosomal RNA (491 nucleotides) under uncultured bacterium. RNAcentral describes it as "partial 16S ribosomal RNA". It matches the Rfam family "Bacterial small subunit ribosomal RNA", at positions 28 to 507 of the family's 1533-position model. The record is from RNAcentral.
GAUGAACGCUGGCUACAGGCUUAACACAUGCAAGUCGAGGGGAAACGACGGGGAAGCUUGCUUCCCCGGGCGUCGACCGGCGCACGGGUGAGUAACGCGUAUCCAACCUGCCUCUGACUGAGGGAUAACCCGUCGAAAGUCGGCCUAAUACCUCAUGGUAUCGUCUGCGGGCAUCCAACGACGAUUAAAGAUUUCAUCGGUCAGGGAUGGGGAUGCGUCUGAUUAGCUUGUUGGCGGGGUAACGGCCCACCAAGGCUACGACCCGUAGGGGUUCUGAGAGGAAGGUCCCCCACAUUGGAACUUGGACACGGUCCAAACGCCUACGGGAGGCAGCAGUGAGGAAUAUUGGUCAACGGGCGAGAGCCUGAACCAGCCAAGUAGCGUGCAGGAAGACGGCCCUAUGGGUUGUAAACUGCUUUUAUGCGGGGAUAAAGUGAGGGACGUGUCCCUCAUUGCAGGUACCGCAUGAAUAAGGACCGGCUAAUUCCGUG